GGGGAUGCACCGGCUUCGACCGGUACGCUUCGGGGUAUAGACUGCAGGUGGAGCGCCCAUCUCCUGAUUGGGCAAAAAUUUAACUGCCAAUAAUACUGUCAGUUACGAUUACGCCUUAGCUGCAUAAUCGCGUGGAACUGUCCCGCCGCUCUGAGGGACAACUUCUGCGUCGCAAUCAGAGCUGGUUUUAAUACAGUAUCCGGUGGUAUUAAGAUAAGAUUUUCCGGAAUACGGACAGACCGCGCGCCGUUUAGCCAAGCCUGUCCCGACAAUACAAUAAACGGCUAAAUCUGUAGAUGUCUAUGUUUCGCGUAUUGGGACGCGGGUUCGAUUCCCGCCAUCUCCACUA
Molecule: transfer-messenger RNA, 349 nt
Filed under: Treponema sp.
Lineage: Bacteria; Pseudomonadati; Spirochaetota; Spirochaetia; Treponematales; Treponemataceae
Rfam family: transfer-messenger RNA
About the family: Bacterial tmRNA, also known as 10Sa RNA or SsrA, is named for its dual tRNA and mRNA-like properties. Its role is to liberate the mRNA from a stalled ribosome.
Source: RNAcentral